Molecule: ribosomal RNA, 520 nt
Filed under: uncultured bacterium
Lineage: Bacteria
Description: bacterial SSU rRNA
Rfam family: Bacterial small subunit ribosomal RNA
Source: RNAcentral
GGGAAUGUGCCUCUGGGUGCGGAACAACGUCGGGAAACUGACGCUAAUACCGCAUAAUAUCUACGGAUCAAAGAUUUAUCGCCCAGAGAUCAGCCCGCGUCUGAUUAGGUAGUUGGUAGGGUAAUGGCCUACCAAGCCGACGAUCAGUAGCUGGUCUGAGAGGAUGAUCAGCCACACUGGAACUGAGACACGGUCCAGACUCCUACGGGAGGCAGCAGUUAGGAAUAUUGGACAAUGGGGGCAACCCUGAUCCAGCCAUGCCGCGUGUGUGAAGAAGGCCUUAGGGUUGUAAAGCACUUUCAGCUGUGAAGAUAAUGACAGUAGCAGAAGAAGAAGCUCCGGCUAAAUUCGUGCCAGCAGCCGCGGUAAUACGAAUGGAGCGAGCGUUGUUCGGAAUCACUGGGCGUAAAGGGUGCGCAGGCGGUCAUGAAAGUUAGAAGUGAAAUCCCAGGGCUUAACCCUGGAAUGGCUUUUAAAACUCCAUGACUAGAGUACUGGAGAGGUUGGCGGAAUUCCGAGU